UUAAGCGACUAAGCGUACACGGUGGAUGCCCUGGCAGUCAGAGGCGAUGAAGGACGUGCUAAUCUGCGAUAAGCGUCGGUAAGGUGAUAUGAACCGUUAUAACCGGCGAUUUCCGAAUGGGGAAACCCAGUGUGUUUCGACACACUAUCAUUAACUGAAUCCAUAGGUUAAUGAGGCGAACCGGGGGAACUGAAACAUCUAAGUACCCCGAGGAAAAGAAAUCAACCGAGAUUCCCCCAGUAGCGGCGAGCGAACGGGGAGGAGCCCAGAGCCUGAAUCAGUGUGUGUGUUAGUGGAAGCGUCUGGAAAGGCGCGCGAUACAGGGUGACAGCCCCGUACACAAAAAUGCACAUGCUGUGAGCUCGAUGAGUAGGGCGGGACACGUGGUAUCCUGUCUGAAUAUGGGGGGACCAUCCUCCAAGGCUAAAUACUCCUGACUGACCGAUAGUGAACCAGUACCGUGAGGGAAAGGCGAAAAGAACCCCGGCGAGGGGAGUGAAAAAGAACCUGAAACCGUGUACGUACAAGCAGUGGGAGCACAGAGCAAUCUGUGUGACUGCGUACCUUUUGUAUAAUGGGUCAGCGACUUAUAUUCUGUAGCAAGGUUAGCCGAAUAGGGGAGCCGAAGGGAAACCGAGUCUUAACCGGGCGUUAAGUUGCAGGGUAUAGACCCGAAACCCGGUGAUCUAGCCAUGGGCAGGUUGAAGGUUGGGUAACACUAACUGGAGGACCGAACCGACUAAUGUUGAAAAAUUAGCGGAUGACUUGUGGCUGGGGGUGAAAGGCCAAUCAAACCGGGAGAUAGCUGGUUCUCCCCGAAAGCUAUUUAGGUAGCGCCUCGUGAAUUCAUCUCCGGGGGUAGAGCACUGUUUCGGCAAGGGGGUCAUCCCGACUUACCAACCCGAUGCAAACUGCGAAUACCGGAGAAUGUUAUCACGGGAGACACACGGCGGGUGCUAACGUCCGUCGUGAAGAGGGAAACAACCCAGACCGCCAGCUAAGGUCCCAAAGUCAUGGUUAAGUGGGAAACGAUGUGGGAAGGCCCAGACAGCCAGGAUGUUGGCUUAGAAGCAGCCAUCAUUUAAAGAAAGCGUAAUAGCUCACUGGUCGAGUCGGCCUGCGCGGAAGAUGUAACGGGGCUAAACCAUGCACCGAAGCUGCGGCAGCGACACUGUGUGUUGUUGGGUAGGGGAGCGUUCUGUAAGCCUGUGAAGGUGUGCUGUGAGGCAUGCUGGAGGUAUCAGAAGUGCGAAUGCUGACAUAAGUAACGAUAAAGCGGGUGAAAAGCCCGCUCGCCGGAAGACCAAGGGUUCCUGUCCAACGUUAAUCGGGGCAGGGUGAGUCGACCCCUAAGGCGAGGCCGAAAGGCGUAGUCGAUGGGAAACAGGUUAAUAUUCCUGUACUUGGUGUUACUGCGAAGGGGGGACGGAGAAGGCUAUGUUGGCCGGGCGACGGUUGUCCCGGUUUAAGCGUGUAGGCUGGUUUUCCAGGCAAAUCCGGAAAAUCAAGGCUGAGGCGUGAUGACGAGGCACUACGGUGCUGAAGCAACAAAUGCCCUGCUUCCAGGAAAAGCCUCUAAGCAUCAGGUAACAUCAAAUCGUACCCCAAACCGACACAGGUGGUCAGGUAGAGAAUACCAAGGCGCUUGAGAGAACUCGGGUGAAGGAACUAGGCAAAAUGGUGCCGUAACUUCGGGAGAAGGCACGCUGAUAUGUAGGUGAAGUCCCUCGCGGAUGGAGCUGAAAUCAGUCGAAGAUACCAGCUGGCUGCAACUGUUUAUUAAAAACACAGCACUGUGCAAACACGAAAGUGGACGUAUACGGUGUGACGCCUGCCCGGUGCCGGAAGGUUAAUUGAUGGGGUCAGCGCAAGCGAAGCUCUUGAUCGAAGCCCCGGUAAACGGCGGCCGUAACUAUAACGGUCCUAAGGUAGCGAAAUUCCUUGUCGGGUAAGUUCCGACCUGCACGAAUGGCGUAAUGAUGGCCAGGCUGUCUCCACCCGAGACUCAGUGAAAUUGAACUCGCUGUGAAGAUGCAGUGUACCCGCGGCAAGACGGAAAGACCCCGUGAACCUUUACUAUAGCUUGACACUGAACAUUGAGCCUUGAUGUGUAGGAUAGGUGGGAGGCUUUGAAGUGUGGACGCCAGUCUGCAUGGAGCCGACCUUGAAAUACCACCCUUUAAUGUUUGAUGUUCUAACGUGGACCCGUGAUCCGGGUUGCGGACAGUGUCUGGUGGGUAGUUUGACUGGGGCGGUCUCCUCCUAAAGAGUAACGGAGGAGCACGAAGGUUGGCUAAUCCUGGUCGGACAUCAGGAGGUUAGUGCAAUGGCAUAAGCCAGCUUGACUGCGAGCGUGACGGCGCGAGCAGGUGCGAAAGCAGGUCAUAGUGAUCCGGUGGUUCUGAAUGGAAGGGCCAUCGCUCAACGGAUAAAAGGUACUCCGGGGAUAACAGGCUGAUACCGCCCAAGAGUUCAUAUCGACGGCGGUGUUUGGCACCUCGAUGUCGGCUCAUCACAUCCUGGGGCUGAAGUAGGUCCCAAGGGUAUGGCUGUUCGCCAUUUAAAGUGGUACGCGAGCUGGGUUUAGAACGUCGUGAGACAGUUCGGUCCCUAUCUGCCGUGGGCGCUGGAGAACUGAGGGGGGCUGCUCCUAGUACGAGAGGACCGGAGUGGACGCAUCACUGGUGUUCGGGUUGUCAUGCCAAUGGCACUGCCCGGUAGCUAAAUGCGGAAGAGAUAAGUGCUGAAAGCAUCUAAGCACGAAACUUGCCCCGAGAUGAGUUCUCCCUGACCCUUUAAGGGUCCUGAAGGAACGUUGAAGACGACGACGUUGAUAGGCCGGGUGUGUAAGCGCAGCGAUGCGUUGAGCUAACCGGUACUAAUGAACCGUGAGGCUUAACCUU
RNAcentral lists this ribosomal RNA (2903 nucleotides) under Escherichia coli B7-1. RNAcentral's name for it is "bacterial LSU rRNA". It matches the Rfam family "Bacterial large subunit ribosomal RNA". Lineage: Bacteria; Pseudomonadati; Pseudomonadota; Gammaproteobacteria; Enterobacterales; Enterobacteriaceae. The record is from RNAcentral.